RNAcentral lists this transfer RNA (65 nucleotides) under Latilactobacillus curvatus. It matches the Rfam family "tRNA", at positions 5 to 66 of the family's 71-position model. Rfam says of the family: Transfer RNA (tRNA) molecules are approximately 80 nucleotides in length. Their secondary structure includes four short double-helical elements and three loops (D, anti-codon, and T loops). Further hydrogen bonds mediate the characteristic L-shaped molecular structure. tRNAs have two regions of fundamental functional importance: the anti-codon, which is responsible for specific mRNA codon recognition, and the 3' end, to which the tRNAs corresponding amino acid is attached (by aminoacyl-tRNA synthetases). tRNAs cope with the degeneracy of the genetic code in two manners: having more than one tRNA (with a specific anti-codon) for a particular amino acid; and 'wobble' base-pairing, i.e. permitting non-standard base-pairing at the 3rd anti-codon position. Lineage: Bacteria; Bacillati; Bacillota; Bacilli; Lactobacillales; Lactobacillaceae. The record is from RNAcentral.
GUAUUGGUGAAGUGGUUAACACAUCGGUUUGUGGAUCCGACAUACGUGGGUUCGAUUCCCACAUA